Molecule: long non-coding RNA, 656 nt
Organism: Grammomys surdaster
Lineage: Eukaryota; Metazoa; Chordata; Mammalia; Rodentia; Muridae
Exons: 5
Source: RefSeq, a predicted model, not a curated record
AGAUGAUACUGCCAGAAAUUAUGCUGCUUAUGAAGAGAUUAAACUGAGCCCUUUUGAUUCUGUGAGGUUAUUAAAGAAUAUAGUUUUCAAGUCAUGGUAAAAUCUUGAUUCAGCAAUACAUGAAGAUGAAUCAUGGUUUCCGUGGACAACUUUGAGAGGCAGUUGAAAGCUGGGGGUCGCUGUAGCCUGGAGCUUUAGCCCAGCAUGGCCUGAAAGUUGAUAAUUUUCUGCUACCACCUCCUGAGUACUGGGAUUAUAUGUACGCACGAACCUGCCUAUCUCUGCUACUAUUAACAGCUGCCUUUGCCUCUUCACGAAAUGAUGGCUGACCUAGGGUUUUUGACAUACUAAACAAUUGCUCUACCAUUGAACUGUAUCUCUGGCUCUAGGGAAGAUAUUUUUGAAAAAUGGUUUAGAGUUUGCCAGAUCCUAUGAGUGAGUGACCUCAAAAGAGAAGAGGAGGGGCCUCCUCAAUGAUAAAGGUUGAAAGGAACAGAGCCUGUUGGCCAUGGACUGAAACUACUGGAACUGUGAGUCAAAAGAAACUUUCCGUUCUUUUAAGCUGUCUGUCUCUGGUAUUUUGUCAUAGAGAUAAUAAGGUUUCUAGCCACAGUCAGGUUUCUAAUUAGGGGUAAAAUUAGAUGUUAAAAGCAUAA